Molecule: ribosomal RNA, 515 nt
Filed under: uncultured bacterium
Lineage: Bacteria
Description: partial 16S ribosomal RNA
Rfam family: Bacterial small subunit ribosomal RNA
Source: RNAcentral
GAUGAACGCUGGCGGCGUGCCUAAUACAUGCAAGUCGAGCGAAUGGAUUAAGAGCUUGCUCUUAUGAAGUUAGCGGCGGACGGGUGAGUAACACGUGGGUAACCUGCCCAUAAGACUGGGAUAACUCCGGGAAACCGGGGCUAAUACCGGAUAACAUUUUGAACCGCAUGGUUCGAAAUUGAAAGGCGGCCUCGGCUGUCACUUAUGGAUGGACCCGCGUCGCAUUAGCUAGUUGGUGAGGUAAUGGCUCACCAAGGCAACGAUGCGUAGCCGACCUGAGAGGGUGAUCGGCCACACUGGGACUGAGACACGGCCCAGACUCCUACGGGAGGCAGCAGUGGGGAAUCUUCCGCAAUGGACGAAAGUCUGACGGAGCAACGCCGCGUGAGUGAUGAAGGCUUUCGGGUCGUAAAACUCUGUUGUUAGGGAAGAACAAGUGCUAGUUGAAUAAGCUGGCACCUUGACGGUACCUAACCAGAAAGCCACGGCUAACUACGUGCCAGCAGCCGCCGUAA